Long non-coding RNA from Zingiber officinale, 884 nucleotides. RefSeq lists it as uncharacterized. The transcript has 3 exons. NCBI's taxonomy places the organism in Eukaryota, Viridiplantae, Streptophyta, Magnoliopsida, Zingiberales, Zingiberaceae. The record is from RefSeq and is a predicted model, not a curated record.
CUUUCCCCCGACCCACGCCCGCGCCUCACCCAUUGUCGCUGUCGUUUCCUUUCUUUCCCAAACCGCCGUCACCACCGCGUCGAUUCCGCUCCUCCCCUCGCCUUCAAAACGGCCGAUCAAAGGAAGUUUCGAGUCCUUCCUCCUUCCGAUCCCUCUCCCUGACCCUCUGCCUCUCACGGCGACGGCAUCCUCUGCCCUAGGAUCUCCACCGCCGCCUUUUCUCUGCUCUAGCCGACGCCACCACCGCCGUCUCCCUCUGUUAACUCAUCGGCAGAGAGGAUCGAGCCUCCAAUCUCCUCAUUUAAAGUUGUCACCAGUCGUGCCCUCUCUGAAUCGUCACCUCGCACGAAUCGAUCUUCGAUCAAGGGGAAGAUCGAAGCCCUAGGUUUGCUGGAUUGGGCUGCAGUCGACUUUCCAAACGAGUGCCUUUUUAUCCCGUGCCUUGGAUCUCAACGGCAGUGAGACCUAGCCGCCGAAGAGGGAACCCUUGAAGGGUAAGUCUGCUGGUUCGAUUGGUUCUCCGACAGAGAGGAAGCUGUCGGCACUGAGUUGGGAUCUUAUCUUGUUCCGUUCUGUGAAGGAUUUCAAUAGGAAAGGUUGUUGUGUGGACUUUCUAUUCCGGCAGCAAAUUCAUCCAGCAGCAACAGUGCUAGGAAUUAAGGUUGAGGCUGUCCAGAGGAGUUCCAGUUGCUAGUCCCCCACCAUUGCGCAUCGCGACAAGUUCACACAGUUUGGGUUUUACUUAUUGUGUUAGACUUUGCUUUUCAGACUUAUAGCUUGACAUUUGGAUCUUGUAUGUUUUGUUAUCGAUGGAUUUAUAUUUGGAUGAUAUCGAUUUUGUGCUUUAUGAGUGUAGUUGAGUAGGAUAUCAGUUUUAUGCUUUA